This 815-nucleotide long non-coding RNA is filed under the name Homo sapiens (human). RNAcentral describes it as "long intergenic non-protein coding RNA 1191". The record is from RNAcentral. Lineage: Eukaryota; Metazoa; Chordata; Mammalia; Primates; Hominidae.
CUGGCUGCCCCCUGGUGGCCGGAGGCCGUUACUGUCGCGGCUGAGGGGGCGUCCCGGUGUAUCCGCAGCGCGCCCUGUCCCGCCAUAUACAUUCCGUGCUUUUCAAACACCCGCCGUGGGCUAAGCAUGGGACCCACGUGGGGCGGGGACACACGGCGAUAAAGAGCCAGGCCCUCGCUGCCAAGGAGCUUUCCCGUAACACCGAUGCAUCAAACAAAAGAUAUUAAAGACAUUGGCGGUAACACUGGAAUGGAUGUGAAGAUGGGAGAGGUCUACCCAUAGCCCAUUCUACAGAGCAGAACUGAGGCUCAGAUAUUGAGGUAGAUUAAAGAUGGCUGCCAGUUCAGUGCCACUUGUCCCGUUGAACUGUGAAGUCUUAUCCCCCUCCUUGGGUCUGCACCAGCCUUGAUGACUUGCUCACUACAAUGUGGUAGAAGUGAUGGUGCAUGACUUCCAAGGUUAGAUCAGAAGAAGCCUUGAAGUUCCUGCCUUGGUCUCUUGAAACAACUUACCGUGUAAGAAGUCUGACACCCUGAGACCGCCAUGUUGGCACAGUUAUGGGUGGAUGCUCCAGUAGAUGGAUCCAGCUGAGCCCAGCCCUCCAGCCAUUCCCACCCCCAAACCAUGGGUGAAACUGUCUUGGACCCUCCAGUCCAGCCCACUCAACAUCUAAAUACCACAGACUGACCUCAGCUGAUACCAUCACCCAGUUAAAAUGUGCCUGAAACUGACCCACAAAAUCAUGAGAUAAACUAAAAUGGUUGUUGUCCUAAGCCACUAAGAUAAUAGAGCAGAUAUAUAUGCACUUAACACUC